This is a long non-coding RNA of Myotis myotis, 682 nucleotides long. RefSeq lists it as uncharacterized. The transcript is spliced from 2 exons. The record is from RefSeq and is a predicted model, not a curated record. NCBI's taxonomy places the organism in Eukaryota, Metazoa, Chordata, Mammalia, Chiroptera, Vespertilionidae.
GAUCCCAGGUUAGGGACCUGGACCCCCAGAUUGGGACCGCGGACCUGGGCGGCGGGCCCAGAGCUCGGGUCGGCGUUGCGGGUUCCAGCCCCGCUGGUAACCCCGCAGCGGGCGUGGACGCGAGAGCGGGGUGCAGCUCUGGACACUCCCUGCUGGGGCCUGUUCCAGACCGUGUGACUCGUCUGUGCUCUGGGCGAGUGUCUGACAGGUGACAGGUCGGACUUGCUCGGGAGGGAACUGGGAGCCGGCCCGAAGGAUCCUUUCGAUCCUUCACCUCGAGCGCUCACCUGCAGCUGGCAGAGGCUGCUAAAGGCUAGUUUUUCUUCCCCUUUUACGUGCCCCGUGCGGCUGGGGGCGGGGCGGAGGUGGGGGUGCGCUUUCAGCCAUCCAGGGUUCAAGGAGGCCUGUUCAGGGAACCUAAGGGAAUCUUUCUGAAAAGUUAAAGUGAUGCGAAAACAGUCUCCCCGCACAAUUUCUGUUUUGAUAACUGUAGUUUCUUUUCUUAGUUUCAUUUUCGAAAAGCGUGGUGGUGGUAAAGCCGAUGAGAAGAGAGCGCAUGAGAGGACGUGCUGAGUUCAAAUUUUAUUUCAAAUCUGUUGCAAAGGGAGUUACUUUAGAAAGGUCCAAUGGAAAGACCCUCUCUGGGUAGAAACAUUUACUAUGAAAAAAAAAAAAAAAAAAA